RNAcentral lists this ribosomal RNA (137 nucleotides) under uncultured eukaryote. RNAcentral's name for it is "partial 18S ribosomal RNA". It matches the Rfam family "Eukaryotic small subunit ribosomal RNA", at positions 1299 to 1458 of the family's 1831-position model. The record is from RNAcentral.
UGGUGGGGUGACUUGUCUGCUUAAUUGCGAUAACGAACGAGACCUUAACCUGCUAAAUAGCCCGCAUUGCUCCGGCAGUGCGCUGGCUUCUUAGAGGGACAUUCGGCUCAAGCCGAAGGAAGUUUGAGGCAAUAACA